Molecule: ribosomal RNA, 496 nt
Filed under: uncultured bacterium
Lineage: Bacteria
Description: partial 16S ribosomal RNA
Rfam family: Bacterial small subunit ribosomal RNA
Source: RNAcentral
GAUGAACGCUGGCGGCGUGCCUAAUACAUGCAAGUCGAGCGAACAGACGAGGAGCUUGCUCCUCUGACGUUAGCGGCGGACGGGUGAGUAACACGUGGAUAACCUACCUAUAAGACUGGGAUAACUUCGGGAAACCGGAGCUAAUACCGGAUAAUAUAUUGAACCGCAUGGUUCAAUAGUGAAAGACGGUUUUGCUGUCACUUAUAGAUGGAUCCGCGCCGCAUUAGCUAGUUGGUAAGGUAACGGCUUACCAAGGCAACGAUGCGUAGCCGACCUGAGAGGGGGACCGGCCACACUGGAACUGAGACACGGCCCAGACUCCUACGGGAGGCAGCAGUAGGGAAUCUUCCGCAAUGGGCGAAAGCCUGACGGAGCAACGCCGCGUGAGUGAUGAAGGUCUUCGGAUCGUAAAACUCUGUUAUUAGGGAAGAACAAAUGUGUAAGUAACUAUGCACGUCUUGACGGUACCUAAUCAGAAAGCCACGGCUAACUACGU